Molecule: non-coding RNA, 116 nt
Organism: Pelobates cultripes (western spadefoot toad)
Lineage: Eukaryota; Metazoa; Chordata; Amphibia; Anura; Pelobatidae
Source: the annotation of a GenBank genome assembly
AGGGCUGUCUAAGAAUCAAGGGAAAUUUAGUUUUUGGGCUAAAUUUGAUUUGGGCUGGCAAGAUUAACCCAGAUCAAAUUUAGCCCAAAAACUAAAUUUCCCUUGAUUCUUAGCCA